AGAGUUUGAUCCUGGCUCAGGAUAAACGCUGGCGGUGUGCAUUAUGCAUGCAAGUCGAACGGUUCUUCCCGCAAGGGAAGAAUAGUGGCAGACGGGUGAGUAACACGUAAGUAACUUGCCCUCAAGUGGGGAACAACUUCGGGAAACCGAGGCUAAUACCGCAUGUGAUGGCCUUUCGCAGGGAAGGUCAUCAAAGCCGUAAGGCGCUUGAGGAGGGGCUUGCGGUCGAUUAGCUUGUUGGUGGGGUAAUGGCCUACCAAGGCUUCGAUCGAUAGCUGGUCUGAGAGGACGAUCAGCCACACUGGGACUGAGAUACGGCCCAGACUCCUACGGGAGGCAGCAGCAAGGAAUUUUGGGCAAUGGGCGAAAGCCUGACCCAGCAACACCGCGUGGGGGAUGACGGCCCUCUGGUUGUAAACCCCUUUUUCUCAGGGAAGAAUAAUGACGGUACCUGAGGAAUAAGCUUCGGCGAACUACGUGCCAGCAGCCGCGGUAAUACGUAGGAAGCGAGCGUUAUCCGGAAUUACUGGGCGUAAAGCGCGCGUAGGUGGUCUUUCAAGUCGAAUGUGAAAUUUCCCGGCUUAACCGGGAAGGGUCAUUUGAUACUGUUGGACUAGAGAGCGGCAGGGGGAAGCGGAAUUCCCGGUGUAGUAGUGAAAUGCGUAGAUAUCGGGAGGAACACCAGUGGCGAAGGCGGCUUCCUGGGCUGUUUCUGACACUGAGGCGCGAAAGUGUGGGUAGCGAACAGAAUUAGAUACUCUGGUAGUCCACACCGUAAACGAUGGGUACUAGGUAUAGGGAGUAUCGACCCUCUUUGUGCCGAAGCUAACGCUUUAAGUACCCCGCCUGGGGACUACGGCCGCAAGGCUAAAACUCAAAGGAAUUGACGGGGGCCCGCACAAGCAGCGGAGCGUGUGGUUUAAUUCGAUUCAACACGAAAAACCUUACCAGGGUUUGACAUGCUGGAAGUAGGGACCCGAAAGGGCGACGACCUGUUAAGUCAGGAGCCAGCACAGGUGCUGCAUGGCUGUCGUCAGCUCGUGCCGUGAGGUGUAUGGUUAAGUCCUGCAACGAGCGCAACCCUCGUUGCUAGUUAAAUUCUCUAGCGAGACUGCCCCGCAAAACGGGGAGGAAGGUGGGGAUGACGUCAAGUCAGCAUGGCCCUUAUGUCCUGGGCUACACACACGCUACAAUGGGUGGUACAAUGGGUUGCGACAUAGCAAUAUGUAGCUAAUCCCCAAAGCCAUCCUCAGUUCAGAUUGCAGGCUGAAACUCGCCUGCAUGAAGUCGGAGUUGCUAGUAACCGCAUAUCAGCAUGUUGCGGUGAAUACGUUCUCGGGCCUUGUACACACCGCCCGUCAAGUCAUGAAAGCCGGUAACACCUGAAGUCGAUAGGCUAACCCGCAAGGGAGGCAGUCGCCGAGGGUGGGACUGGUGAUUGGGACUAAGUCGUAACAAGGUA
This 1462-nucleotide ribosomal RNA is filed under the name metagenome. RNAcentral's name for it is "bacterial SSU rRNA". It matches the Rfam family "Bacterial small subunit ribosomal RNA". The record is from RNAcentral.